RNAcentral lists this ribosomal RNA (449 nucleotides) under uncultured bacterium. RNAcentral's name for it is "partial 16S ribosomal RNA". It matches the Rfam family "Bacterial small subunit ribosomal RNA", at positions 29 to 523 of the family's 1533-position model. The record is from RNAcentral.
AACGAACGCUGGCGGCAGGCCUAACACAUGCAAGUCAAACGCCCUAGCAAUAGGGAGUGGCAGACGGGUGAGUAACGCGUGGGAAUGUGCCUUUCGGUUCGGAAUAACUCAGGGAAACUUGAGCUAAUACCGGAUACGCCCUUCGGGGGAAGGAUUUAUUGCCGAAAGAUCGGCCCGCGUCCGAUUAGCUAGUUGGUGAGGUAAAGGCUCACCAAGGCGACGAUCGGUAGCUGGUCUGAGAGGAUGAUCAGCCACACUGGGACUGAGACACGGCCCAGACUCCUACGGGAGGCAGCAGUGGGGAAUAUUGGACAAUGGGCGCAAGCCUGAUCCAGCCAUGCCGCGUGAGUGAUGAAGGCCCUAGGGUUGUAAAGCUCUUUCGCCAGGGACGAUAAUGACGGUACCUGGAUAAGAAGCCCCGGCUAACUUCGUGCCAGCCGCCGCAGUAA